Molecule: ribosomal RNA, 527 nt
Filed under: uncultured bacterium
Lineage: Bacteria
Description: bacterial SSU rRNA
Rfam family: Bacterial small subunit ribosomal RNA
Source: RNAcentral
GCUGGCGGCGUGCCUCAGACAUGCAAGUCGAACGCGAAAGUUCCCUUCGGGGAGCGAGUAGAGUGGCGCACGGGUGAGUAACACGUGGGUAAUUUACCUUCGGGUGGGGAAUAGCGGCUGGAAACGGCCAUUAAUACCGCAUAAUGCAGCGGCUCGACAUCGAGACAGUUGUUAAAGCGGGGGCUCCGCAAGGACCUCGCGCCUGAAGAAAAGCCCACGGCGGAUUAGCUAGUUGGUGGGGUAAUGGCUCACCAAGGCGACGAUCCGUAACCGGCCUGAGAGGGCGGUCGGUCACACUGACUCUGAACAACGGGUCAGACUCCUACGGGAGGCAGCAGUCGGGAAUUUUGGGCAAUGGGCGAAAGCCUGACCCAGCAACGCCGCGUGAAGGAUGAAAUCCCUCGGGAUGUAAACUUCGCAAGAACGGGAAGAAUAAGCGAGUGCUAACACCUCUCGCGAUGACGGUACCGUUUGUAAGCUCCGGCUAACUCCGUGCCAGCAGCCGCGGUAAUACGGNGGGAGCAAGC